GGGGGCGUACUGGUUUCGACGGGAUUGUUGAGACUUGAGUAGCGGGUGGUGGAUUCUCGUUGGCCACCUUAAAAACGAGAGUAUAAAAAUAAACGCUAAGAACGAAGAUUACGUUUUAGCUGCUGCUUAAUAGAAUAAGCAGCCCGUCAGUCCCAGGUUGCUGCACCUGGGGUCACUGGCGUCAUCAAGCCAGCCCUUCGGCGCGGGAAGGUUAAACGCCGGAACUGCUGCAGUGGUAGCCUUGAGCUGCAGUGGAUUUAAAGGAUACCAAAAUGUAAAGCCUGCCCAUGGACUUUACAUGGAGGGAAAGGGUCUUUGACCAGAAUUCAUGGGCUGCACCCGGAGAAGCUCUUGUGGAUAUGAUUUCGGACAGGGGUUCGACUCCCCUCGCCUCCACCA
RNAcentral lists this transfer-messenger RNA (399 nucleotides) under Clostridiaceae bacterium. It matches the Rfam family "transfer-messenger RNA". Rfam says of the family: Bacterial tmRNA, also known as 10Sa RNA or SsrA, is named for its dual tRNA and mRNA-like properties. Its role is to liberate the mRNA from a stalled ribosome. RNAcentral also lists the same sequence under 1 other name. The record is from RNAcentral. Lineage: Bacteria; Bacillati; Bacillota; Clostridia; Eubacteriales; Clostridiaceae.